GGGUUGUGAGGUUAAGCGACUAAGCGUACACGGUGGAUGCCCUGGCAGUCAGAGGCGAUGAAGGACGUGCUAAUCUGCGAAAAGCGUCGGUAAGGUGAUAUGAACCGUUACAGCCGGCGAUGUCCGAAUGGGGAAACCCAGUGCAAUUCGUUGCACUAUCGUUAACUGAAUACAUAGGUUAACGAGGCGAACCGGGGGAACUGAAACAUCUAAGUACCCCGAGGAAAAGAAAUCAACCGAGAUUCCCCCAGUAGCGGCGAGCGAACGGGGAGCAGCCCAGAGUCUGAAUCAGCUUGUGUGUUAGUGGAACGGUCUGGAAAGUCCGACGGUACAGGGUGAUAGUCCCGUACACCAAAAUGCACAGGUUGUGAACUCGAAGAGUAGGGCGGGACACGUGGUAUCCUGUCUGAAUAUGGGGGGACCAUCCUCCAAGGCUAAAUACUCCUGACUGACCGAUAGUGAACCAGUACCGUGAGGGAAAGGCGAAAAGAACCCCGGCGAGGGGAGUGAAAAAGAACCUGAAACCGUGUACGUACAAGCAGUGGGAGCACCUUCGGGUGUGACUGCGUACCUUUUGUAUAAUGGGUCAGCGACUUAUAUUCUGUAGCAAGGUUAACCGUAUAGGGGAGCCGCAGGGAAACCGAGUCUUAACUGGGCGUUAAGUUGCAGGGUAUAGACCCGAAACCCGGUGAUCUAGCCAUGGGCAGGUUGAAGGUUGGGUAACACUAACUGGAGGACCGAACCGACUAAUGUUGAAAAAUUAGCGGAUGACUUGUGGCUGGGGGUGAAAGGCCAAUCAAACCGGGAGAUAGCUGGUUCUCCCCGAAAGCUAUUUAGGUAGCGCCUCGUGAACUCAUCUUCGGGGGUAGAGCACUGUUUCGGCUAGGGGGUCAUCCCGACUUACCAACCCGAUGCAAACUACGAAUACCGAAGAAUGUUAUCACGGGAGACACACGGCGGGUGCUAACGUCCGUCGUGAAGAGGGAAACAACCCAGACCGCCAGCUAAGGUCCCAAAGUCAUGGUUAAGUGGGAAACGAUGUGGGAAGGCACAGACAGCCAGGAUGUUGGCUUAGAAGCAGCCAUCAUUUAAAGAAAGCGUAAUAGCUCACUGGUCGAGUCGGCCUGCGCGGAAGAUGUAACGGGGCUAAACCAUGCACCGAAGCUGCGGCAGCGACACUAUGUGUUGUUGGGUAGGGGAGCGUUCUGUAAGCCUGCGAAGGUGUGCUGUGAGGCAUGCUGGAGGUAUCAGAAGUGCGAAUGCUGACAUAAGUAACGAUAAAGCGGGUGAAAAGCCCGCUCGCCGGAAGACCAAGGGUUCCUGUCCAACGUUAAUCGGGGCAGGGUGAGUCGACCCCUAAGGCGAGGCCGAAAGGCGUAGUCGAUGGGAAACAGGUUAAUAUUCCUGUACUUGGUGUUACUGCGAAGGGGGGACGGAGAAGGCUAUGUUAGCCGGGCGACGGUUGUCCCGGUUUAAGCAUGUAGGCUGGUUAUCCAGGCAAAUCCGGAUAAUCAAGGCUGAGGUGUGAUGACGAGGCACUACGGUGCUGAAGUAACAAAUGCCCUGCUUCCAGGAAAAGCCUCUAAGCAUCAGGUAACAUCAAAUCGUACCCCAAACCGACACAGGUGGUCAGGUAGAGAAUACCAAGGCGCUUGAGAGAACUCGGGUGAAGGAACUAGGCAAAAUGGUGCCGUAACUUCGGGAGAAGGCACGCUGGUGUGUAGGUGAAGUCCCUGCGGAUGGAGCUGAGACCAGUCGAAGAUACCAGCUGGCUGCAACUGUUUAUUAAAAACACAGCACUGUGCAAACACGAAAGUGGACGUAUACGGUGUGACGCCUGCCCGGUGCCGGAAGGUUAAUUGAUGGGGUUAUCCGUAAGGAGAAGCUCUUGAUCGAAGCCCCGGUAAACGGCGGCCGUAACUAUAACGGUCCUAAGGUAGCGAAAUUCCUUGUCGGGUAAGUUCCGACCUGCACGAAUGGCGUAAUGAUGGCCAGGCUGUCUCCACCCGAGACUCAGUGAAAUUGAACUCGCUGUGAAGAUGCAGUGUACCCGCGGCAAGACGGAAAGACCCCGUGAACCUUUACUAUAGCUUGACACUGAACAUUGAGCCUUGAUGUGUAGGAUAGGUGGGAGGCUUUGAAGCGUGGACGCCAGUCUGCGUGGAGCCAACCUUGAAAUACCACCCUUUAAUGUUUGAUGUUCUAACGUUGGCCCCUGACCGGGGUUGCGGACAGUGUCUGGUGGGUAGUUUGACUGGGGCGGUCUCCUCCCAAAGCGUAACGGAGGAGCACGAAGGUUAGCUAAUCCUGGUCGGACAUCAGGAGGUUAGUGCAAUGGCAUAAGCUAGCUUGACUGCGAGCGUGACGGCGCGAGCAGGUGCGAAAGCAGGUCAUAGUGAUCCGGUGGUUCUGAAUGGAAGGGCCAUCGCUCAACGGAUAAAAGGUACUCCGGGGAUAACAGGCUGAUACCGCCCAAGAGUUCAUAUCGACGGCGGUGUUUGGCACCUCGAUGUCGGCUCAUCACAUCCUGGGGCUGAAGUAGGUCCCAAGGGUAUGGCUGUUCGCCAUUUAAAGUGGUACGCGAGCUGGGUUUAGAACGUCGUGAGACAGUUCGGUCCCUAUCUGCCGUGGGCGCUGGAGAAUUGAGGGGGGCUGCUCCUAGUACGAGAGGACCGGAGUGGACGCAUCACUGGUGUUCGGGUUGUCAUGCCAAUGGCACUGCCCGGUAGCUAAAUGCGGAAGAGAUAAGUGCUGAAAGCAUCUAAGCACGAAACUUGCCCCGAGAUGAGUUCUCCCUGAGACUAUAAGUCUCCUGAAGGAACGUUGAAGACGACGACGUUGAUAGGCCGGGUGUGUAAGCGCAGCGAUGCGUUGAGCUAACCGGUACUAAUGAACCGUGAGGCUUAACCUUACAACGCCGAAG
RNAcentral lists this ribosomal RNA (2923 nucleotides) under Klebsiella pneumoniae. RNAcentral describes it as "bacterial LSU rRNA". It matches the Rfam family "Bacterial large subunit ribosomal RNA". Lineage: Bacteria; Pseudomonadati; Pseudomonadota; Gammaproteobacteria; Enterobacterales; Enterobacteriaceae. The record is from RNAcentral. RNAcentral also lists the same sequence under 3 other names.